AUCUUCCUAGUAUUAAAUUAGUACAAGUGACUUCCAAUCAUUUAGUCUUGGUUAAACCCCAGGGGGAGAUA
This 71-nucleotide transfer RNA is filed under the name Opsariichthys pachycephalus (thickhead chub). Its description in RNAcentral is "tRNA-Gly". It matches the Rfam family "tRNA". From Rfam's summary of the family: Transfer RNA (tRNA) molecules are approximately 80 nucleotides in length. Their secondary structure includes four short double-helical elements and three loops (D, anti-codon, and T loops). The record is from RNAcentral. Lineage: Eukaryota; Metazoa; Chordata; Actinopteri; Cypriniformes; Xenocyprididae.